CCUACGGGUGGCAGCAGUCGAGAAUCAUUCACAAUGGGGGAAACCCUGAUGGUGCGACGCCGCGUGGGGGAAUGAAGGUCUUCGGAUUGUAAACCCCUGUCAUGUGGGAGCAAAUUAAAAAGAUAGUACCACAAGAGGAAGAGACGGCUAACUCGGUGCCAGCAGCCGCGGUAAUACAGAGGUCUCAAGCGUUGUUCGGAAUCACUGGGCGUAAAGCGUGCGUAGGCUGUGUCGUAAGUCGUGUGUGAAAGGUGCGGGCUCAACCCGCGGACGGCACAUGAUACUGCGAGACUAGAGUAAUGGAGGGGGAACCGGAAUUCGCGGUGUAGCAGUGAAAUGCGUAGAUAUCGAGAGGAACACUCGUGGCGAAGGCGGGUUCCUGGACAUUAACUGACGCUGAGGCACGAAGGCCAGGGGAGCGAAAGGGAUUAGAUACCCUAGUAGUC
RNAcentral lists this ribosomal RNA (446 nucleotides) under uncultured bacterium. RNAcentral describes it as "partial 16S ribosomal RNA". It matches the Rfam family "Bacterial small subunit ribosomal RNA", at positions 338 to 795 of the family's 1533-position model. The record is from RNAcentral.